CGGACGGGUGAGAAUGUCUGGGAACUGCCCGAUGAGGGGGAGUAACUACUGGAAACGGUAGCUAAUACCGCAUAACGUCGCAAGACCAAAGAGGGGGACCUUCGGGCCUCUUGCCAUCGGAUGUGCCCAGAUGGGAUUAGCUAGUAGGUGGGGUAACGGCUCACCUAGGCGACGAUCCCUAGCUGGUCUGAGAGGAUGACCAGCCACACUGGAACUGAGACACGGUCCAG
RNAcentral lists this ribosomal RNA (230 nucleotides) under uncultured bacterium. RNAcentral's name for it is "partial 16S ribosomal RNA". It matches the Rfam family "Bacterial small subunit ribosomal RNA", at positions 99 to 334 of the family's 1533-position model. The record is from RNAcentral.